RNAcentral lists this ribosomal RNA (545 nucleotides) under Craterium aureum. RNAcentral describes it as "SSU rRNA". It matches the Rfam family "Eukaryotic small subunit ribosomal RNA", at positions 17 to 517 of the family's 1831-position model. The record is from RNAcentral. Lineage: Eukaryota; Evosea; Eumycetozoa; Physariida; Physaraceae.
CCAGUAGUGUAUGCUUCUCCUAAAGACUAAGCCAUGCAUGCCUACGAAUAGAAGAGCAUUCUCUCCGAAUCUGCGAACGGCUCCGCAAACCAGUUGUAAACUAUAGCAAGCAUGCCCCGGCGUCGGCCGCAAGGUCGACGACGGUGCGACAAGGAUAACCCUGGUAAUUCUGAGGCUAAUACAAGAACAUAAACCCUGCCCUAACCAGGUAUGGCGGGCGGGGGACGUGUGAUACAUCGUAACGGGUGUAAUGGGAAUAGGUGCACGUUCAGACCACCAUACAAAACGGGGAGAAGUGUGCUUCGGCACCAACUUUCCGGGUGGCUCUUGCUGUGUGCUUCUGACCUAUCAACUAGAUGGCAGCGUAACGGACAUGCUAUGGUGACAACGGGUACAGAGGAUAAGGGUUCGAUCCUGGAGAGUGGGCCUGAGAGAUUGCUCACACUUCUAAGGAAGGCAGCAGGCGCGCAACGUUCCCCUUGGGCAAUGCUCGAGGGCGUUAGGGGACAUAUGAAUGUCUGCCUAUUGGUGGACAAUUCAAAUGG